AUACGUAGGUCCCGAGCGUUGUCCGGAUUUAUUGGGCGUAAAGCGAGCGCAGGCGGUUUGAUAAGUCUGAAGUUAAAGGCUGUGGCUCAACCAUAGUUCGCUUUGGAAACUGUCAAACUUGAGUGCAGAAGGGGAGAGUGGAAUUCCAUGUGUAGCGGUGAAAUGCGUAGAUAUAUGGAGGAACACCGGUGGCGAAAGCGGCUCUCUGGUCUGUAACUGACGCUGAGGCUCGAAAGCGUGGGGAGCGAACAGGAUUAGAUACCCUGGUAGUCCACGCCGUAAACGAUGAGUGCUAGGUGUUGGAUCCUUUCCGGGAUUCAGUGCCGCAGCUAACGCAUUAAGUAUUCCGCCUGGGGAGUACGGUCGCAAGAUUAAA
Molecule: ribosomal RNA, 376 nt
Filed under: uncultured bacterium
Lineage: Bacteria
Description: bacterial SSU rRNA
Rfam family: Bacterial small subunit ribosomal RNA
Source: RNAcentral